This 617-nucleotide ribosomal RNA is filed under the name uncultured eukaryote. Its description in RNAcentral is "bacterial SSU rRNA". The stretch from base 1 to 546 matches the Rfam family "Eukaryotic small subunit ribosomal RNA", at positions 1273 to 1831 of the family's 1831-position model. The record is from RNAcentral.
GGUGGUGUGCAUGGCGGUUCUUAGUUGGUGGAGUGAUUUGUCUGGUUAAUUCCGUUAACGAACGAGACCUCAGCCUGCUAACUAGCGAUGCUCUUCUUUGAAGGGUAGCCCGCCUUCUUAGAGGGACUAUUCGUGUCCAACGAAUGGAAGUUUGAGGCAAUAACAGGUCUGUGGAUGCCCUUAGAAUGUUCUGGGGCGCACGCGCGCCUACACUUGAUGGAAUGCAACGAGCUCUACCCUUGACCCGAAAGGCCCGGGGUAAACUUGUCAAAAAUCCAUCGUGAUGGGGAUAGGAUUAUUGCAAUUCUUGAAUCUUCAACGAGGAAUUCCUAGUAAGCGCGAGUCAUCAGCUCGCGUUGAUUACGUCCCUGCCCUUUGUACACACCGCCCGUCGCUCCUACCGAUUGAAUGGUCCGGCGAAAUCUUCAGAUUGCGGCUGCGACGGCUAACCCCUGACGCUGUGAGAAGUUGAUUAAACCUUAUCAUUUUAGAGGAAGGAGAAGUCGUAACAAAGGUUUCCGUAGUGAACCUGCAGAAGGAUCAAUCCAUAUGACUAGUAGAUCCUCUAGAGUCGACCUGCAGGCAUGCAAGCUUUCCCUAUAGUGAGUCGUAUUAAA